GAAUGAACAGAUGUCGUCCUAAUGAACAGACACCCCAAUCCGAGGACAUGGAAGCCUUGUUAAGCAGUUUGAAUUCAGACGAAGAUGUUAAAGUGGUGUCGUCUGAUGAAGAAGAUAACGCAGGUGAUCACGGGUUUGACGAUAAUGAAGCAGGUCAAUUAGAAGCUGGUCUGAUUGAAGUAAAUACAGAAGUUAACGUAGAGGAUAUCGUGGAACAAGUUAUAACAAAUAUACAGAAAGAUGACGACUACGAUGAUGUUUAUGAACAUAUAUCAAUCCAACCCUUGACAAAUAGACGAUUAUUACAAUUAAUGAAACCUGCCAGAAAUUGUCCAUCAUCACCGAUUCACAGUACAGCAUCCACAGAAACAAGUUAUACACCAGAUCAAGAUGUAGAGCCUGAAGUUUUAUCAGACAGCCAACAGAGGGAGAUGAUUAAAAUGGCCCUGAAUCAAAGACGGAGUAGCUUUCAACUUCAUUUGUCUUCUUUGGUUACAGAGAGCAGAAAUGAACGAAUAGCCGAAUGGUUUAAAACAAGUACCCCAGAAGAUGAAGGUCCUUUUCUCUUAGAAGAAAUACGUGACUUCUCAAAUUCAGUUUAAUUGAAGAUAACAAAUAAACAAAACGGUGUUGAAGCGGGGCCACUAUCAACGAGAAGCAAGGUUCUCCGCAGGUCGAAACCGUGCACAACAGCAAGGGCCGCCUUCGGUUCGUUCAAAUAUUUAACCAUGGUUCAAGUAAGUCUCUACCAUGAGCACCCGAACUUGAAAUGAUUAGACUAAGGUCGUGACCAUGGUUGACCCACCUUUCGAGGUCGGCUGAGGCGGGUCAAGUCAAAUUAAAAGUGGUGGCCCGCGACAAAACAUAUGUUGUGUUGGAAUUGUUAUUUUAACGCAUACUACCAGAACCUGCGAGUUAUUUAAAUUCAUAUAGGCCUAACACAUUUAAGUAGUUGCCAUCUUAUAUAGAGUGGAUAAUCAUGUUUUGUCAAUCAAUUCGAUGUCAGAUUGAAAUUGUGAAAGUGACAGUAUUAUAGUAAAAUAUAUUUCAUCCAUUUGUGAAUUUUAUUUGGAAAAACAGCAACACCAACAAACGAUUUUCUUCAUUAAAUAUAUCAGUUUGAUAAACAUUGUAAGUAUAAAUCAUAUAACGGUAAAUAAAUAAAC
Molecule: long non-coding RNA, 1166 nt
Organism: Patella vulgata (common limpet)
Lineage: Eukaryota; Metazoa; Mollusca; Gastropoda; Patellidae
Exons: 4
Source: RefSeq, a predicted model, not a curated record